This 203-nucleotide unclassified non-coding RNA is filed under the name rhizosphere metagenome. Its description in RNAcentral is "partial ribosomal RNA internal transcribed spacer region". The record is from RNAcentral.
GUAGGUGAACCUGCGGAAGGAUCAUUAUUGUAGGCGCCUUCGGGCCCGCUAAAUCAAUAACCCUUGUCUUUUUUUGUGCACCCUUUGUUUCCUCGGCAGCUUCGCCUGCCAACGAGGACCCCCUAAAAACCUUUUGCAAUCCUAGUAUAACCUUCAGAAAACAAACAAUAUUAAAACUUUCAACAAUGGAUCUCUUGGCUCUG